This 262-nucleotide ribosomal RNA is filed under the name uncultured archaeon. RNAcentral describes it as "partial 16S ribosomal RNA". It matches the Rfam family "Archaeal small subunit ribosomal RNA", at positions 717 to 982 of the family's 1478-position model. The record is from RNAcentral.
CGUCUACAUUAGAUACCCGCGUAGUCCCAGCCGUAAACUAUGCGCGUUAGGUGUAUCGGUGACCACGAGUCACCGAGGUGCCGAAGGGAAACCGUGAAACGUGCCGCCUGGGAAGUACGGUCGCAAGGCUGAAACUUAAAGGAAUUGGCGGGGGAGCACCUCAACGGGUGGAGCCUGCGGUUUAAUUGGACUCAACGCCGGGAAGCUCACCGGAUAAGACAGCGGAAUGAUUGCCGGGCUGAAGACUCUGCAUGACUAGCUG